RNAcentral lists this long non-coding RNA (728 nucleotides) under Rattus norvegicus (Norway rat). Its description in RNAcentral is "long non-coding RNA NONRATT023735". The record is from RNAcentral. Lineage: Eukaryota; Metazoa; Chordata; Mammalia; Rodentia; Muridae.
CAGCGCUAAGGGUGGAGCCUCCCAUCAGAUAAGAUACCCAAAGCCCAGACACAAACUAAGACCCUGGCAGUGGAGAAGGCAGGACGAACCCUCAGGAAUGUGCCCAGACUGGGCUAAGGUUUCAGAAAAAUCAAAAAGACCCCCAAAGCCCCAGAGUCCAGCUGAGUCAAGUUCACAGCAGGACGACUGCCUCGGGAAAGCUGAUCCGGGAAGAAUCGGGAACCUAAUACUUCAGAGGGGCCCUGCAUCCCAGCCGGGACCACCCUGCGGAGACCCCAACGCCCCAACACCACAGUGCAGAGCUGCUCAUUCAAUACCUGGCCUAGUGGGCCCAACUAAAGCUGGGUGGGCCUUCUAGGUAAACCUGACCCUCAAGUCUCCUGAGCCUACCAUCCCACCGUGACCCAGACUGAGGUGGGAGCGGGUGAGCAAAGGCACCUGGGGCUCCCUGUUCUUCGAUGGCCUGGCUCCCCCUGCUGGAGAAACGGGGUAUGGCAUAGAUAGGGAAAAGCGAGCAAGGAGGAAAAGGCCAGAAACCAUCUUAAAGCUAUAUACACUCUGGGUAAAAGACGGCAAGAUUCUAUGGCCGGCCAAACUCAGUCUCCUAAGAUGGCCCCAGAAAGGAUUUGUGUUCAUGAGACUCCAUCACUAGGCGAAUCUGUGCGAAUUCUUGAUGUCGCAAACCCCGUGGUUCAAGGCUACACAAACCCAGGAGCCCUAGCAGGGGG